This 94-nucleotide non-coding RNA is filed under the name uncultured Fictibacillus sp. RNAcentral's name for it is "pan motif". It matches the Rfam family "pan motif". Lineage: Bacteria; Bacillati; Bacillota; Bacilli; Caryophanales; Fictibacillaceae. The record is from RNAcentral.
AGGCGGUAUCCAUGUGGAACUGCACUAAUCUUGUCUAGUUUUGACCACAAACCUUAUAUCUGCCUAGAUCCAAAAUUAGGACCGGGACAGAGGG